CCUACGGGAGGCAGCAGUGGGGAAUAUUGCACAAUGGGCGCAAAGCCUGAUGCAGCCAUGCCGCGUGUGUGAAGAAGGCCUUCGGGUUGUAAAGCACUUUCAGCGAGGAGGAAAGCUUAAGCGUUAAUAGCGUUUAAGUGUGACGUGACUCGCAGAAGAAGGACCGGCUAACUUCGUGCCAGCAGCCGCGGUAAU
This 195-nucleotide ribosomal RNA is filed under the name gamma proteobacterium P1. RNAcentral describes it as "partial 16S ribosomal RNA". It matches the Rfam family "Bacterial small subunit ribosomal RNA", at positions 338 to 524 of the family's 1533-position model. The record is from RNAcentral. Lineage: Bacteria; Pseudomonadati; Pseudomonadota; Gammaproteobacteria.